Molecule: non-coding RNA, 379 nt
Organism: Salvia hispanica
Lineage: Eukaryota; Viridiplantae; Streptophyta; Magnoliopsida; Lamiales; Lamiaceae
Source: RefSeq, a predicted model, not a curated record
GGCUGCUUAGACAACAGAAUACCAAGAGAGGCAGCUUCUCAGAUAACAAGCGAUGUGGCGAAGGAAAGCUGGUUCAAUCCGCAGAAGCAGCUUCCAGACGAAAUUCGGUAUUAUUGCAAGAUUGGUGGCUGAUCAAAGCAGGGCCAGAUACCCAUGGCAAACGAUUAGGCAUUGGAGGUUCCACUUUGGAAGGGUAAAGCUCAGUUUCUUGCUAGUUCAUUGUACACAAUUUACUUGAUAAAGAAAUCUGAGAAUAUUUAGAUAUAUAAAGAGUUCAAAUUAACUCUUAAGAGAUUCUCAGGGCAUGCCUCUCACUGUAAGAAUGAAAUUGUGGUGUGUGAAUGUUGAUCAUUGAUUGUAUUUUGAAUUAGCUUUUUAA